UUUAUGUUUUUUUUGAAUAUAUGUUUAACAUUUUAAAAUAAAUGAUUUUUUUUUUUUUUUUUUUUUUUUUUUUUAAAUAACAUACUUUUAACGAAAAAAAAAAAAAUAAAAUGAAUAAAAAAUCGAAGAAACAUACAAGUGUAUGGAUACAAAACAAAAUUGUAACAUACGGACACUUGUAUAUAUAAAAAAAUGCAGUAUACGGAUGCUUAAGCACAUAAAAAGUCUAACAUACAGACAUAAAUGAGGGGGGAGGGGGGAAAAAAUUACUCUUUUUUUUUUCAGCUUAAUUAUGUUCCAUUUCCUUUUUGAAAAAUGUAACUUCUUUUUAUUAAUUAUAUUUACUAAAAUUAAUUAUUUGAUAUUUGGUAUAUGAUUUUUUUUAUUUUUUAUUUUUAUGUUUUGUUCAAUAGUAAACGUAUAUGUAUAAGUACACGUAUACGUAUACGGAUAUAUUAACAUUCGAUGGCUUGUUUCAUUUUGUUACUUAAUUUUAUUUAAAUUUUUUUUUUUUUAUUUAUUUAUUUAUUUUUUUAUUUAUUUUUUUUUUUUGUUAAACGCUAUUAAAGCUAAAAAUGUACACACUUGUUUUCCCUUUUCUAAUAACAAUAUUGACACAUUAUUCAACUACCUAUUCAAUUUGAUUAAGUUCUUUUCUUUACACAUGUAUAUGUAUUUGUGUGUAUGUAUAUAUAUAUAUAUAUAUAUUUUUUUUUACGCUCUUAGAGCUAUUCUAAUGUAAAUAAAGUUGGCAUACAUCCAAAAAAAAAAAAAAAAAAAAAAAAAAAUGGACAGCAAUUCUAUUGUACAAAAAAGCAUAUUAAAAACUACAAAUGAUAAACAAGAUGGUAAAUCAUCAAGUAGUUAUACAAAAAACUUUUAUAAAAGUUUAAAUAACUACGUACGAGAAUUUGAUAGUAUUGAAAAAAAAGAAAAUAAGAAUGAUGAAUUAAUUAAUGAAGUGUACGACAAACAGAACACACCAACAGUUCAACUAUUUAAUACAAGUUCUAAAGGUGGAAAUCGUUCAAGAUUGUUCGACAACCAGUGGAAAAAGUACAAUUAUAAUUAUAAAAAUGGAAACGAAAGAAUAAACUAUGAUUAUAUAAAUGCCACCAAUGAAUACUAUAAACCAACAAACGUUGAAGAGAAAGUAACAAACACAGGAAUAACUAAUAAAACCUUUUUUUCAGAUAAUAAUGUGUUGCAAUAUGAAGAUAGCAUGAAAAAAUGGUCCGAUAAAAGUAGAUACCUAUACUUCGUUGAAAAACAAAAAGAGGAGCGCGGUAGCAAGAAAGUUAGUAAAUUUAAAAAUAUAAAUUUGAAUAAUGCCCUUAUAAAAGAUAAAUACUUACAAGCCUCUUAUAAACAUGACCCUACUAGUGAACAAACAAAAAUUGAAAAUUUAGUUUUAGAUGUCUUAAAUAACAAUUUUGAUGAUGAUAUAGAAUCUAUCAAAGGUGAAAGAACCCUAACCGAAGAUCGCCUAGAGACAUCUGGUGUUGUAAUAAUAAAAAAAUAAAUAAAAAUGAUUAAAAAAAAAAAGAAAUAAAUAAAAAAGU
RNAcentral lists this long non-coding RNA (1562 nucleotides) under Piliocolobus tephrosceles (Ugandan red Colobus). Its description in RNAcentral is "lncRNA (ENSPTEG00000003371.1)". The record is from RNAcentral. Lineage: Eukaryota; Metazoa; Chordata; Mammalia; Primates; Cercopithecidae.